Small nuclear RNA from Gracilinanus agilis (Agile Gracile Mouse Opossum), 104 nucleotides. The record is from RefSeq and is a predicted model, not a curated record. Lineage: Eukaryota; Metazoa; Chordata; Mammalia; Didelphimorphia; Didelphidae.
GCUUUCUUUGACUAUAUCUAUACCAAAAUUGGAAUGAUAUAGAAAAGACUAGCAUUGCCUCUACUGUAGGAUGACAAACACUUUAGGAACUGCUCCACCACUUU